AAGUAAAUUAAAUAAAGUCGUCGUAUAAUGUCGGGAAUAUGGCCCGAAAGUUUCUACCGAGUUACCGUAAAUGACUUGACUACGCAUAUAUAUAAAAGGGGA
Rummeliibacillus stabekisii is the source of this 102-nucleotide regulatory RNA element. It matches the Rfam family "Purine riboswitch aptamer". From Rfam's summary of the family: Riboswitches are metabolite binding domains within certain messenger RNAs that serve as precision sensors for their corresponding targets. Allosteric rearrangement of mRNA structure is mediated by ligand binding, and this results in modulation of gene expression. NCBI's taxonomy places the organism in Bacteria, Bacillati, Bacillota, Bacilli, Caryophanales, Caryophanaceae. The record is from Rfam.